UUAGUGAAGUUUGUUAGAGUCAGUUAGAUUUUGUUCUACCUAGGUUGUUAGAGUUUGUUAGGAAGUUAUUAGUUGGUUAGGGCCUAAGAGAAUCACUAGCUUUGUGGUGAUCUAGUAUAAAAGGGCUUGGCCCAUAUUAGUGAGUGUAAUCAACUAAUUUUUCCCCCAAGUGGAUGAAUAAAAUCUGAGCUAUUUUCCC
RNAcentral lists this long non-coding RNA (199 nucleotides) under Trifolium pratense (red clover). Its description in RNAcentral is "long non-coding RNA (TPRA_LNC007933)". Lineage: Eukaryota; Viridiplantae; Streptophyta; Magnoliopsida; Fabales; Fabaceae. The record is from RNAcentral.